RNAcentral lists this non-coding RNA (31 nucleotides) under Homo sapiens (human). Lineage: Eukaryota; Metazoa; Chordata; Mammalia; Primates; Hominidae. The record is from RNAcentral.
GCAGCCGAAGGGAAUUCUCCCCUGUUUCUGC